RNAcentral lists this small nuclear RNA (18 nucleotides) under Arabidopsis thaliana (thale cress). Its description in RNAcentral is "snRNA_16303". Lineage: Eukaryota; Viridiplantae; Streptophyta; Magnoliopsida; Brassicales; Brassicaceae. The record is from RNAcentral.
CUUUGAAAAGAGAGUCAA